UACGUAGGGGGCAAGCGUUGUCCGGAUUUAUUGGGCGUAAAGAGCGUGUAGGCGGCUUUACAGGUCCGUUGUAAAAACUCGAGGCUCAACCUCGAGACGCCGGUGGAAACCGUAAAGCUAGAGUCCGGAAGAGGAGAGUGGAAUUCCUGGUGUAGCGGUGAAAUGCGCAGAUAUCAGGAAGAACACCCGUGGCGAAGGCGGCUCUCUGGGACGGUACUGACGCUGAGGAGCGAAAGCGUGGGGAGCGAACAGG
Molecule: ribosomal RNA, 253 nt
Filed under: uncultured bacterium
Lineage: Bacteria
Description: partial 16S ribosomal RNA
Rfam family: Bacterial small subunit ribosomal RNA
Source: RNAcentral